RNAcentral lists this ribosomal RNA (348 nucleotides) under uncultured Helicobacter sp. RNAcentral's name for it is "bacterial SSU rRNA". It matches the Rfam family "Bacterial small subunit ribosomal RNA", at positions 278 to 643 of the family's 1533-position model. The record is from RNAcentral. Lineage: Bacteria; Pseudomonadati; Campylobacterota; Epsilonproteobacteria; Campylobacterales; Helicobacteraceae.
GACGGGUAUCCGGCCUGAGAGGGUGAUCGGACACACUGGAACUGAGACACGGUCCAGACUCCUACGGGAGGCAGCAGUAGGGAAUAUUGCUCAAUGGGGGAAACCCUGAAGCAGCAACGCCGCGUGGAGGAUGAAGGUUUUCGGAUUGUAAACUCCUUUUGUUAGAGAAGAUAAUGACGGUAUCUAACGAAUAAGCACCGGCUAACUCCGUGCCAGCAGCCGCGGUAAUACAGAGGGUGCAAGCGUUACUCGGAAUCACUGGGCGUAAAGAGCGCGUAGGCGGGGUAGCAAGUCAGAUGUGAAAUCCUAUGGCUUAACCAUAGAACUGCAUUUGAAACUGUUACUCUA